AACGAACGCUGGCGGCAUGCCUAACACAUGCAAGUCGAACGAGACCUUCGGGUCUAGUGGCGCACGGGUGCGUAACGCGUGGGAACCUGCCCUUAGGUUCGGAAUAACUCCCCGAAAGGGGUGCUAAUACCGGAUAAUGUCUUCGGACCAAAGAUUUAUCGCCUUUGGAUGGGCCCGCGUUGGAUUAGCUAGUUGGUAGGGUAAAAGCCUACCAAGGCGACGAUCCAUAGCUGGUCUGAGAGGAUGAUCAGCCACACUGGGACCGAGACACGGCCCAGACUCCUACGGGAGGCAGCAGUGGGGAAUAUUGGACAAUGGGCGAAAGCCUGAUCCAGCAAUGCCGCGUGAGUGAUGAAGGCCUUAGGGUUGUAAAGCUCUUUUACCCGGGAUGAUAAUGACAGUACCGGGAGAAUAAGCGCCGGCUAACUCCGUG
This 433-nucleotide ribosomal RNA is filed under the name uncultured bacterium. RNAcentral's name for it is "partial 16S ribosomal RNA". It matches the Rfam family "Bacterial small subunit ribosomal RNA", at positions 29 to 507 of the family's 1533-position model. The record is from RNAcentral.